UGAAGUAUAGCCAAGUGGUAAGGCCUCCGUUUUUGGUACGGAAAAUCAAAGGUUCGA
This 57-nucleotide transfer RNA is filed under the name Phytophthora pseudotsugae. RNAcentral's name for it is "partial tRNA-Gln". It matches the Rfam family "tRNA", at positions 1 to 56 of the family's 71-position model. From Rfam's summary of the family: Transfer RNA (tRNA) molecules are approximately 80 nucleotides in length. Their secondary structure includes four short double-helical elements and three loops (D, anti-codon, and T loops). The record is from RNAcentral. Lineage: Eukaryota; Oomycota; Peronosporomycetes; Peronosporales; Peronosporaceae.